GUCCAAGUAGUUUAGUACAAAACAUUGGUCUUGUAAGCCAAAAACGGGGCCUAACCCCCCCCUCGGAUU
RNAcentral lists this transfer RNA (69 nucleotides) under Salamandrina terdigitata (spectacled salamander). Its description in RNAcentral is "tRNA-Thr". It matches the Rfam family "tRNA". From Rfam's summary of the family: Transfer RNA (tRNA) molecules are approximately 80 nucleotides in length. Their secondary structure includes four short double-helical elements and three loops (D, anti-codon, and T loops). Lineage: Eukaryota; Metazoa; Chordata; Amphibia; Caudata; Salamandridae. The record is from RNAcentral.